Molecule: RNA transcript, 2697 nt
Organism: Neolamprologus brichardi
Lineage: Eukaryota; Metazoa; Chordata; Actinopteri; Cichliformes; Cichlidae
Gene: fndc5a
Gene name: fibronectin type III domain containing 5a
Source: RefSeq, a predicted model, not a curated record
UGGUGACAAGUCGAUCAGCUGUGCUCGCUCGAGAAGUCGGUCUUUAAAGCGUGGUGUUGCUGGCGUGGAGGGUGGGUUACUAGGGGUGGAAGAAGGCGGGUGUUUAUUGUUUUUAAUAAGGUCAUAAGGAGGAGAAGCGGUGAGUGAGUGUUACAGAAAAACAUCAAAGCUGAACUGUAGUUUUUGGACAUUUCUUGACUUUUUCGCUGUUAUUGUCGCAGCCGGGGGGGUCCUUGGGAGGGUUUGCAGCCUCGCUCUCUCUCGCUGGAGUCAGUGUGGCGGGCAGGGACAGUCCAAGCGCUCAUAUACAAAGCCAGCACGUUUCACUGUGUCUGCAGCAGCUGAGCGGUGCUGAGCACCACCACCACCACCACCACCACCACCAGCAGCAGCAGCAGAAGCAGAAGCAGAUCGGGGAGGAUUUGAGAGCACAGUUGGAGGAUCGACGACGCAUCGAUGAUGAAGCUCACCUGCUGUUUGCAGGUUGCUGGUCUGAGGUUGGAGGGUGCCGAGUGAGCGGAGGUGUUGCCGAAGCGCUGUCCGAGGUGCUGAAAAGCCCGCGGACAGAGCGCCGUUGUCGCCUUUCCAGUCGAGAUGACACGCACGAACUGACGUGAAUGCCAAGCAGCACAACGCGGCGGUUAACACGGCUCCCCUGGCCAGAGUGCACGGGACCGCGCGUCCUCUUGGCGUUAGAAACAUGGAGAGAAUUUUCCUGCUCGUCCUGAGCUGUCUCGGCGUCUCUCUGGUCACAGCGGAUAGCUUGUCGCCUCCCGUCAAUGUGACCAUCAGAGAGGUAAAAGCAAACUCUGCUGUGGUGUCAUGGGACAUCCCCGAGGGAGACCCAGUCAUUGGCUUUGCCAUCACACAGCAGAAGAAAGACGUGCGCAUGCUGCGAUUCAUCCAGGAAGUCAACACCACCACGCGAUCCUGUGCAUUAUGGGACUUGGAGGAAGAGACAGACUACAUUGUGCAUGUCCAGUCCAUCUCCAUGUCUGGGACGAGCCCACUGAGCGAACCGCUGCGCUUCCGGACGCCGAAGGAGGCCGAGACUCAGGCCUCUAAGAGUGAAGACGAAGUAACAAUGGAGGAAGUGGGACAGACGACCCAGCUGCGGGCUGGGGAGCUCAUCAUCAUCGUGGUGGUACUCAUCAUGUGGGCAGGUGUGAUCGCCCUCUUCUGUCGCCAGUAUGACAUAAUCAAAGACAACGAGCCGAACAACAACAAGGACAAAGCCAAAAACUCCUCAGAGUGCAGCACUCCCGAGCAUCCGACGGGGGGGCUGUUGCGCAGUAAGGUAUAACCCACCCCCCUCCCCUCCUCCUCUCCCUGGGUGUCUCCCCCUCAGCGGCGCCGGGCAGUUCCCCAAGAACAACAACAACAACAAUAGGAUGCCAUCUGUCAACAUCAUUGAGGUGUGACUGCCAGGACGUCUUCUCUUUACCUAAAAGACUUUGUGUUCUCACAAACAAGCGGGCCCCUUUUAAGCCCAUCUGCUUGUCAGGAUGACGCUGGGACUCUGGGCCCCUCGGCAGCGCCUUCUCUCCUUCGGGCCUGCCGCCGGAGCGAGGCCGCAGGACUCUGGGCGUCGAGCAUGCUCCCUCCGCCUGCGCCGGUGUGAAGAGGCAGCGGCUGCUCAGUGACUACUGCACUGUGGGGCGGCAGCGAUUAGAGCCGAAUGGCUCUGGUGUUGGAGAGACUGCAGAUAAACAGGCCCCAGGGACCAAAGCUGAUAAACAGAGCCAGAGACCUUUUCAUUCUCUCUGUCACCUUCUUCUCAGCGUCUUGCAGUGUUAUCAGUGACCGCAAAACCUGGGCAUUUCCCUUUUCUGGGUUGAAAUCGUCUCUUCUGCUUUAAUCUUUUAUAUCCACGCAUAACUUCAUCAUUACGUGUUGCAUUCUGUACUCUUAAGUGGGCUGUUAGGGUGUAGUUGUUUAAAUUUUUACAAGGUGCCACCAGUACAGUUUUGUUGUUCUGGUAUUUUUGUUUCAUUGAUCCUCUCUCGGGCAGAAGCUCUUUGCCAUCUUGUGGAUUCACUUGUUUUUUUCGCCCCCUCAGGGAAUCCAGACUCUACCACCUGGCUAAUUUAUGAGAUGUUUCUAAAAUGUGUUGUGACAACGCCAGAGCAGCUUUUGAGAGGGCUGCUACCAAAGCUGAAUCACCAGGACUCGAUCAACAAGAUAAAAACACUUAAAAGCAACCUCUGAUCUGAACAAAUAUUCACAGUAGAGUUCAUGAGAAGCCAGGUUUCAUCCUACUUCUUGUCCCUCAUGCUUUUAUUCUGAAAUGUUACAUUCCAUGUCCAGAAUGAGCCCUUUAGUAUUCCCUCGUGUCUUUCUCUCUGAGGGGGAUGAAUCUCAAAGCAUUCUGGAGAGGAGCAGAACUGCCAUAAUGGAGUGCAUUCAUCUAAUUAACAAACUCUAAAAGGGGCUGGACUCUCGGAAGAAGUGGUCUUUCCUCUUCAGAGACACGCAGGAGAUCUCUUAUAUCAGCAAUAACAGCCCUCAGAGGAAGUGCAGAAUCGAGGACUCGAACGCCGCAGCCUCUUUGAAUAAAAUCCCGACCUCUCAGCAUGUUGUAAUGUUCAGGCAGACGAAUUAACUGCACGUCCAGUUUGGAGGGAAUUAACUCCGAGCCCCAAACGUCCUUAAGCGCUGUUGUAAAAACUUUGGUUUCCAGUGGUUAGCAUGGGAUUU